CCUCACUGCUGCACUGGUGGUCUGAUGAAGGAUUUCAGUUUUUUAGUGGGAUCUGAAAGUUGGGUUGCAAUAAUUAUUUCUCAUUUCUGGUUUGGUGUAUGAACUAGAAAUUGCAAUAGCAGUUUUUACACAGCUCUUUUUCAAACUGGCUGCAUAAACAGAAAUAAAUUAAGGCUUUCAAGUCUCCUCUGGGAACGCAAUAAAUAUUACCCUGUUUUCCAAAAGGAGGAAACAGAACAGCAAACACAUUAACGUGGUAUCUCCAAGGUUAACCAGUUGGCAGAACUGGGAGUAACUCCUGCUCGUAUCGUCCUUAUUGGUCACUUGUUUAAGUGUUAUUUAGGGGUCGGACCAUGCAGAGCAGGUGAAAACAUCCCUGCAUGGAUCCGAGGGUCGGGGAUGGAGAUGCUCAGGACAAGAGAUGCAGCCGUUCCCUGCUCCAGCCAACACAGUUACACUGAGUUAUUCUGCUGCACAGAGGAGCUGUUGGCAUCCUCUCCUCUUUUAUUACCCUGGUGCAGAAGCAGAAUGGUGGCAGAGAUGCAGAAUUGAUACCAGUGGAACCAGGCCAGGAGGUGCUGUUGAGCCUCAACAGUCAUGGCAGAGCCCUGCUGGAAAGUUAUGCAGGAGAAACAGGAGGUGGAAUUUCAUGCUCAGGAGGACAGCUGAGGAGGUGCAGGGAUGCUCUGUCACCUUCUUGUCCUGA
This 706-nucleotide long non-coding RNA is filed under the name Ficedula albicollis (Collared flycatcher). RNAcentral describes it as "lncRNA (ENSFALG00000028661.1)". The record is from RNAcentral. Lineage: Eukaryota; Metazoa; Chordata; Aves; Passeriformes; Muscicapidae.